This 1230-nucleotide ribosomal RNA is filed under the name Rhizophydium patellarium. RNAcentral's name for it is "SSU rRNA". It matches the Rfam family "Eukaryotic small subunit ribosomal RNA", at positions 576 to 1831 of the family's 1831-position model. Lineage: Eukaryota; Fungi; Chytridiomycota; Chytridiomycetes; Rhizophydiales; Rhizophydiaceae. The record is from RNAcentral.
GCGGUAAUUCCAGCUCCAAUAGCGUAUAUUAAAGUUGUUGCAGUUAAAACGCUCGUAGUUGAACUUUGGUCUUGGCUGGGCGGUCUUUGCGAAUGCAUAGCACUUCUCUGGCUGAGACUUUCCUUCUGGCGAACUAUUGUGCUAUUUAUUUAGUGCAAUAGGGAACCAGGACUUUUACUUUGAAAAAAUUAGAGUGUUUAAAGCAGGCGUCUGCCCGAAUACAUUAGCAUGGAAUAAUAAAAUAGGACUUUGGUUUUAUUUUGUUGGUUUUCGAAACCGAAGUAAUGAUUAAUAGGGAUAGUUGGGGGCGUUACUAUUGAGGAGUCAGAGGUGAAAUUCUUGGAUUUCCUCAAGAGUAUCUACUGCGAAGGCAUUCGCCAAGGAUGUUUUCAUUAAUCAAGAACGAAAGUUGGGGGAUCGAAGACGAUCAGAUACCGUCGUAGUCUCAACAGUAAACUAUGCCGACUUGGGAUCGGACAAUGUUCAAUUUUGACUUGUUCGGCACCACAUGAGAAAUCAAAGUUUUUAGGUUCCGGGGGGAGUAUGGUCGCAAGGCUGAAACUUAAAGGAAUUGACGGAAGGGCACCACCAGGAGUGGAGCCUGCGGCUUAAUUUGACUCAACACGGGGAAACUCACCAGGUCCAGACAAAAUAAGGAUUGACAGAUUGAGAGCUCUUUCUUGAUUUUUUGGGUGGUGGUGCAUGGCCGUUCUUAGUUGGUGGAGUGAUUUGUCUGGUUAAUUCCGUUAACGAACGAGACCUUAACCUGCUAAAUAGUUGCAUUCACUUUGGUGGAUGACCAACUUCUUAGAGGGACUAUAGACGUUUAGUCUAUGGAAGUUUGAGGCAAUAACAGGUCUGUGAUGCCCUUAGAUGUUCUGGGCCGCACGCGCGCUACACUGACAACAGCAGCAAGUAAUUCACCUUGGCCGGGAGGUCUGGGUAAUCUUCUGAAAUGUUGUCGUGCUGGGGAUAGUCCUUUGCAAUUAUUGGACUUCAACGAGGAAUUCCUAGUAAGCGUGAGUCAUCAGCUCGCGUUGAUUACGUCCCUGCCCUUUGUACACACCGCCCGUCGCUAGUACCGAUUGAAUGGCUUAGUGAGACCCUCGGAUUGGCGGUUCUAUGGUGGCAACACCAUUAAACUGCCGAGAAGUUGGUCAAACUUGGUCAUUUAGAGGAACUAAAAGUCGUAACAAGGUAACCGUAGGUGAACCUGCGGUUGGAUCAUUA